This 468-nucleotide ribosomal RNA is filed under the name uncultured bacterium. RNAcentral's name for it is "partial 16S ribosomal RNA". It matches the Rfam family "Bacterial small subunit ribosomal RNA", at positions 28 to 507 of the family's 1533-position model. The record is from RNAcentral.
GACGAACGCUGGCGGCGUGCUUAACACAUGCAAGUCGAACGGAAAGGCCCUGCUUUUGUGGGGUGCUCGAGUGGCGAACGGGUGAAUAACACGUGAGUAACCUGCCCUUGACUUUGGGUUAACUUCAGGAAACUGGGGCUAAUACCGGAUAGGAGCUCCUGCUGCAUGGUGGGGGUUGGAAAGUUUCGGCGGUUGGGGAUGGACUCGCGGCUUAUCAGCUUGUUGGUGGGGUAGUGGCUUACCAAGGCUUUGACGGGUAGCCGGCCUGAGAGGGUGACCGGCCACAUUGGGACUGAGAUACGGCCCAGACUCCUACGGGAGGCAGCAGUGGGGAAUAUUGCACAAUGGGCGGAAGCCUGAUGCAGCAACGCCGCGUGCGGGAUGACGGCCUUCGGGUUGUAAACCGCUUUCGCCUGUGACGAAGCGUGAGUGACGGUAAUGGGUAAAGAAGCACCGGCUAACUACGUG